CCAUUGCAAGAAACUUCCCCACAAAAACAUAGUAGUGAAGCAUCAAAAAAAGAGAAUAAAUUACAAAUGCACAAUUCAUGCAUGAGAAAAUAAUACCUUUUCUUCGAAAAAUUUGUGAUCUGGUUAGAAAAUCCGAGAAUUGGAGGUGUUGAACAUCGAGGGAGAUGGGGCUGUACCCACUCUGCCAAAUGGUUGUGUUCUGACGCCUGAUCGUCGAUCCAGCCGUCGCGAAAUUACAACCAUGCCUGAAAUUCGCUCCAAUCGAAUCCAGAAACGCACUCAGAUAAGGCAAUCCCACACUUUCAGCUGCAAUGUAAUCAAUCCACACUAACUAAAUAUCACUCUAGAGAGAGAGAGGUUUAGAGAGAGAGAGAGAGAGAGACANCUACACUACUACUCUCUCUCUCUCUCUCUCUCUCUCUCUCUCUCUCUCUCUCUCUCUCACACACACACACACACACAGAGAAAAUACCCUUGUUUUACUAUCAAUAAAGAAACAAUGUUGUGUCUUGUAAAUAAGUCUUAGUAAUACAAACUACCACUUUAUUCAGCACACUCCUCUCUCUCUCUCUCUACUUCAAAAUGAAACUGCUCCCAUUGCAAGAAACUUCCCCACAAAAACAUAGUAGUGAAGCAUCAAAAAAAGAGAAUAAAUUACAAAUGCACAAUUCAUGCAUGAGAAAAUAAUACCUUUUCUUCGAAAAAUUUGUGAUCUGGUUAGAAAAUCCGAGAAUUGGAGGUGUUGAACAUCGAGGGAGAUGGGGCUGUACCCACUCUGCCAAAUGGUUGUGUUCUGACGCCUGAUCGUCGAUCCAGCCGUCGCGAAAUUACAACCAUGCCUGAAAUUCGCUCCAAUCGAAUCCAGAAACGCACUCAGAUAAGGCAA
RNAcentral lists this long non-coding RNA (886 nucleotides) under Salvia miltiorrhiza (redroot sage). RNAcentral's name for it is "long non-coding RNA (SMIL_LNC007481)". The record is from RNAcentral. Lineage: Eukaryota; Viridiplantae; Streptophyta; Magnoliopsida; Lamiales; Lamiaceae.